RNAcentral lists this ribosomal RNA (253 nucleotides) under uncultured bacterium. Its description in RNAcentral is "partial 16S ribosomal RNA". It matches the Rfam family "Bacterial small subunit ribosomal RNA", at positions 524 to 776 of the family's 1533-position model. The record is from RNAcentral.
UACGUAGGUGACAAGCGUUGUCCGGAAUUACUGGGCGUAAAGUGUGCGCAGGUGGCCGCGCAAGUCGAGUGUGAAAUCCCCGAGCUUAACUUGGGAAUUGCGCUCGAAACUACGUGGCUCGAGUGUGGCAGAGGAAGGUGGAGUUCCACGUGUAGCGGUGAAAUGCGUAGAGAUGUGGAGGAACACCGAUGGCGAAGGCAGCCUUCUGGGCCAACACUGACGCUCAUGCACGAAAGCGUGGGGAGCAAACGGG